Molecule: ribosomal RNA, 586 nt
Filed under: uncultured bacterium
Lineage: Bacteria
Description: partial 16S ribosomal RNA
Rfam family: Bacterial small subunit ribosomal RNA
Source: RNAcentral
UGGGGAAUUUUGGACAAUGGGCGAAAGCCUGAUCCAGCAAUGCCGCGUGUGUGAAGAAGGCCUUCGGGUUGUAAAGCACUUUUGUCCGGAAAGAAAUCCUUGGCUCUAAUACAGUCGGGGGAUGACGGUACCGGAAGAAUAAGCACCGGCUAACUACGUGCCAGCAGCCGCGGUAAUACGUAGGGUGCAAGCGUUAAUCGGAAUUACUGGGCGUAAAGCGUGCGCAGGCGGUUUGCUAAGACCGAUGUGAAAUCCCCGGGCUCAACCUGGGAACUGCAUUGGUGACUGGCAGGCUAGAGUAUGGCAGAGGGGGGUAGAAUUCCACGUGUAGCAGUGAAAUGCGUAGAGAUGUGGAGGAAUACCGAUGGCGAAGGCAGCCCCCUGGGCCAAUACUGACGCUCAUGCACGAAAGCGUGGGGAGCAAAACAGGAUUAGAUACCCUGGUAGUCCACGCCCUAAACGAUGUCAACUAGUUGUUGGGGAUUCAUUUCCUUAGUAACGUAGCUAACGCGUGAAGUUGACCGCCUGGGGAGUACGGUCGCAAGAUUAAAACUCAAAGGAAUUGACGGGGUCAUAGCUGUUUCCU